AUUGUCGUGGCCGAGUGGUAAAGGCGAUGGACUAGAAGGCCAAAAGGGGGUCUCCCCGCACAGGUUCGAUCCUGUCAACUGCG
RNAcentral lists this transfer RNA (83 nucleotides) under Ixodes scapularis (black-legged tick). RNAcentral describes it as "tRNA-Ser". It matches the Rfam family "tRNA". Rfam says of the family: Transfer RNA (tRNA) molecules are approximately 80 nucleotides in length. Their secondary structure includes four short double-helical elements and three loops (D, anti-codon, and T loops). Lineage: Eukaryota; Metazoa; Arthropoda; Arachnida; Ixodida; Ixodidae. The record is from RNAcentral.